CAACGGAUUCUAUCAGAACUCCGCAAGUUAAGGGUGCUUGGGCGAGAGUAGCACUAGGAUGGGUGACCUCCUGCGAAGUCCUUAUAUUUCACCUAUUUUCUUAGGAAGUCCUCGUGUUGCACCCAUUUUUUUGCAGAUGAUUCUUUCGACGAUACGCGCGACUUGAAUUAUGGUCCUCAGGUUUAUUCGCAAAUGUGAGUCACGGCACCGUAGCAUUUUACUUGAUAUUAGAACGAGCACGAGAGGUGUAGUGCGCGCGCACAAGGAAACAAAUGACGGGAGACGGAAGAAAGGAGAAGGAGUUUAUGUAUUUGCAGCGUGGAAUUAAACGGGUGCGAUCAUACCAGCACAAAUGCACCGGAUCUCAUCAGAACUCCGCAGUUAAGUGUGCUUUGGCGAAAGUAGUACAGUGAUGGGUUACCUCCUGGGAAGUUCUCGUGUUACACCCAUUUUCUUUUUUUCAGAUGUGCCGUUCGACGUUACGCACGACUUUAAUUAUGGUCCGCAGAUUUAUUCGUAAAUUUAAGUCACGGCGCCGUGGCAUUUUACUUGAUAUUUAAACGAGAUCGAGAGGUGCAGUGCGUACGCACAAGGAAACAAAUGACGGGAGGGGGAAGAUAGGAGAAGGAGUUUAUGUAUUUGCUGCGCAAAAUUAAACAGGUGCGAUCAUACCAGCACAAAUGCAGCGGAUCCCAUCAGAACUCCACAGUUAAGUGUGCUUGGGCGGGAGUAGUACUCGGAUGGGUGACCUCUUGACAGGCCUCGUGUCGCACUAAUUUUUUUUUCCGACGGGUCGUUCGACGUUACGCGCGACUGGAACUAGGGUCCACUAGUUUAUACGCAAAUGUGAGUCAAGAAGCAGGGGUAUUUUAAUCGAUAUUAGAACGAGAAGGAGAGAAGCAGUGUGCACGCACAAGGAAACAAAUGACGGGAGGGGGGAUGGAGGGAGAAAAAGUGUAUGUAUUUGCAGCGCAGAAUGAAACAUGAACAAUCAUACCAGCACCAAUGCAACGGAUUCUAUCAGAACUCUGCAAGUUAAAGGUGCUUGGGCGAGUGUAGCACUAGGAUGGGUGACCUCCUGCAAAGUCCUUAUAAUUCACCCAUUUUCUUAGGAAGUUCUCGUGUUGCACCCAUUUUUUUGCAGAUGAUUCUUUCGACGAUACGCGCGACUUGAAUUAUGGUCAUCAGGUUUAUUCGCAAAUGUGAGUCAAGGCACCGUAGCAUUUUACUUGAUAUUAGAAAGAGCACGGGAGGUGCAGUGCGCACGCACAAGGAAACAAAUGACGGGAGGGGGAAGAAAGGAGAAGGAGUUUAUGUAUUUGCAGCGUGGAAUUAAACGUGUGCGAUCAUACCAGCACUAAUGCACCGGAUCCCGUCAGAACUCCGCAGUUAAGUGUGCUUUGGCGAGAGUAGUACUCGGAUGGGUGACCUCUUGGGAAGUUCUCGUGUCGCACUAAUUUUGUUUCAAACGGGUCGUUCGACGUUACGCAGGACUGGAACUAGGGUCCGCUGGUUUAUACGCAAAUGUGAGUCAAGAAGCAGGGUCAUUUUAAUCGAUAUUAGAACGAGAAAGAGAGGUGCAGUGUGAACGCACAAGGAAACAAUUGAUGGGAGGGGGAGGGAAGGAGAAAGAGUGUAUCGACGAUACGCGCGACUUGAAUUAUGGUCCUCAGGUUUAUUCGCAAAUGUGAGUCACGGCACAGUAGCAUUUUACUUGAUAUUAGAACGAGCACGGGAGGUGUAGUGCGCACGCACAAGGAAACAAAUGACGGGAGGGGGAAGAAAGGAGAAGGAGUUUAUGUAUUUGCAGCCCGGAAUUAAAGGGGUGCGAUCAUACCAGCACUAAUGCGCCGGAUCCCUUCAGAACUCCGCAGUUAAGUGUGCUUGGGCGAGAGUAGUACUCGGAUGGGUGACCUCCUGGGAAGUUCUCGUGUCGCACCAAUUUUUUUUCAGAUGGGUCGUUCGACGUUACGCGCGACUGGAAUUAGGGUCCGCUGGUUUAUACACAAAUGUGAGUCUAGAAGCAGGGGCAUUUUAAUCGAUAUUAGAAUGAGAAUGAGAGGUGAAGUGUGAACGCACAAGGAAACAAAUGACGGGAGGGGGAAGAAAGGAGAAGGAGUGUAUGUAUUUGCAGCGCGAAAUUAAACAAGUGCAAUCAUACCAGCACUAAAGCUCCGGAUCCCAUCAGAACUCCGCAGUUAAGUGUGCUUGGGCGAGGGUAGUACUCGGAUGGUUGACCUCCUGGGAAGUCCUCUUGUCGCACCAAUUUUUUUUCAGACGGGUCGUUCGACGUUACGCGCGACUUGAAUUAUGGUCUCAGGUUAUUCGCAAAUGUGAGUCACGGCACCGUAGCAUUUACUUUAUAUUAGAACGAGCACGGGAGGUGCAGUGCGCACGCACAAGGAAACAAAUGACGGGAGGGGGAAGAAAGGAGAAGGAGUUUAUGUAUUUACAGCGCGGAAUUAAACGGGUGCGAUCAUACCAGCACUCAUGCACCGGAUCCCAUCAGAACUCCGCAGUUAAGUGUGCUUUGGCGAGAGUAGUACUCGGAUUGGUGACCUCCUGGGAAGUCUUCGUGUCGCACCAAUUUUUUUUCAGACGGGUCGUUCGACGUUACGCGCGACUGGAGCUAGUGUCCGCUGGUUUAUACGCAAAUGUGAGUCAAGAAGUAAGGGCAUUUUAAUCGAUAUUAGAACGAGAAGGAGAGGUGCAGUGUGAAUGCACAAGGAAACAAUUGAUGGGAGGGGGAGGGAAGGAGAAUGAGUGUAUGUAUUUUGAGCACGAAAUGAAACAGGUGCGAUCAGACCAACACUAAUGCAACGGAUUCUAUCAGAACUCCGUAGGUAAGGGUGUUUGGGCGAGAGUAGUACUAGCAUGGGUUACCUCCUGCGAUGUCCUUAUAUUUCAACCAUUUUCUUCUGAAGUCCUCGUGUUGCACCCAUUUUUUUUGCAGACGAUUCUUUCGACGUUACGCGCGACUUGAAUUAUGGUCCUCAGGUUUAAUCGCAAAUGUGAGUCACGGCGCCGUGGCAUUUUACUUGAUAUUAGAACGAGAACGGGAGGUGCAAUGCGCACGCACAAGGAAACAAAUGACGGGAGGGGGAAGAAAGGGGAAUGCGUGUAUGUAUUUGCAGCGCGAAAUUUAACAGGUGCGAUCAUACAAGCACAAAUGCGCCGGAUCCCAUCAGAACUCCGCAGUUAAGUGUGCUUUGGCGAAAGUAGUACAAUGAUGGGUUACCUCGUGGGAACUUCUCGUGUUGCACCCAUUUUCUUUUUUUCAGAUGUUCCGUUCGACGUUACGCUCGACUUUAAUUUUGGUCCGCAGAUUUAUUCGAAAAUGUGAGUCACGGCGCUUGUGGCAUUUUACUUGAUAUUUGAACGAGAACGAGAGGUGCAGUGUGCACGCACAAGGAAACAAAUGACGGGAGGGGGAAGAAAGGAGAAGGAGUUUAUGUAUUUGCAGCGCAAAAUUAAACAAGUGCGAUCAUACCAGCACUAAUUCACCGGAUCCCAUUAGAACUCCGCAGUUAAGUGUGCUUGGGCGAGAGUAGUACUCAGAUGGGUGACCUCUUGGGAAGUCCUCGUGCCGCACUAAUUUUUUUUUCAGACGGGUCGUUCGACGUUACGCGCGACUGGAAUUAGGGUCCACUGGUUUAUACGCAAAUGUGAGUCAAGAAACAGGGGAUUUCAAAUGAUAUUAGAACGAGAAAGAGAGAUGCAGAGUGCACGCACAAGGAAACAAAUGACGGGAGGGGGGAUGGAGGGAGAAAAAGUGUAUGUAUUUGCAGCGUAGAAUGAAACAGGAGCAAUCAUACCAGCACCAAUGCAACGGAUUCUAUCAGAACUCCGCAAGUUAAAGGUGCUUGGGCGAGAGUAGCACUAGGAUGGGUGACUUCCUGCGAAGUCUUUAUAUUUCACCCAUUUUCUUAGGAAGUCCUCGUGUUGUACCUAUUUUUUUGCAGAUGAUUCUUUCGACGAUACGCGCGACUUGAAUUAUGGUCCAAGGUUUAUUCGCAAAUGUGAGUCACGGCACCGUAGCAUUUUACUUUAUAUUAGAACGAGCACGGGAGGUGCAGUACGCACGCACAAGGAAACAAAUGACGGGAGGGGGAAGAAAGGAGAAGGAGUUUAUGUAUUUACAGCGCGAAAUUAAACGGGUGCGAUCAUACCAGCACUCAUGCACCGGAUCCCAUCAGAACUCCGCAGUUAAGUGAGUUUGGGCGAGAGUAGUACUUGGAUGGGUGACCUCUUGGGAAGUCUUCGUGUCGCACCAAUUUUAUUUCAAACGGGUCGUUCGACGUUACGCGCGACUGGAACUAGGGUCCGCUGGUUUAUACGCAAAUGUGAGUCAAGAAUCAGGGGCAUUUUAAUCGAUAUUAGAACGAGAAUGAGAGGUGCAGUGUGAGCGCACAAGGAAACAAAUGAUGGGAGGGGGGGAGGGAAGAAGGAGUGUAUGUAUUUUCAGCACGAAAUUAAACAGGUGCGGUCACACCAGCACAAAUGCACCGGAUCCCAUCAGAACUCCGCAGUUAAGUGUGCUUUGGCGAAAGUAGUACAAUGAUGGGUUACCUCCUGGGAAGUUGUCGUGUUGCACCCAUUUUUUUUUUCAGAUGUGUCGUUCGACGUUACGCGCGACUUGAAUUAUGGUCCUCAGGUUUAUUCGCAAAUGUGAGUCACGGCGCCGUGGCAUUUUACUUUAUAUUAGAACGAGAACAGGAGGUGCAGUGCGCACGCACAAGGAAACAAAUGACGGGAUGAGGAAGAAAAGAGAAGGAGUGUAUGUAUUUGAAGCGCAAAAUUAAACAAGUGGCAUCAUACCAGCACUAAUGCACUGGAUCCCAUCAGAACUCUGCAGUUAAGCAUGCUUGGGCGAGAGUAGUCCUCGGAUGGAUGACCUCUUGGGAAGUUCUCGUAUCGCAAUAAUUUUUUUUCAGAUGGGUCGUUCGACGUUACGCGCGACUGGAACUAUGGUCCGCUGGUUUAUACGCAAAUGUGAGUCAAGAAUCAGGGGCAUUUUAAUCGAUAUUAGAACGAGAAUGAGAGGUGCAGUGUGAACGCACAAGGAAACAAAUGACGGGAGGGGGAAGAAUGGAGGAGUGUAUGUAUUUGCAGCGCAAAAUUAAAGAGGUGCGAUCAUAGCAGCACUAAAGCCCCAGAUCCCAUCAGAACUCCGCAGUUAAGUGUGCUUGGGCGAGAGUAGUACUCGGAUGGGUGACCACCUGGGAAACCCUCGUGUUGCACCUAUUUUUUUUCGGAUGGGUUUUUCGACAAUACGCGCGAAUGGAAUUAUAAACUGCUGGUUCAUUUGCAAAGGUGAGUCACGGUGCCGGGGCAUAUUACUGGAUAUUAGAACGAUAAAGAGAGAUGCAGAGUGCACGCACAAGGAAACAAAUGACGGGAGGGGGAAGAAAGGAGAAGGAGUUUAUGUAUUUGCAGCGCGAAAUUAAACAGGUGCGAUCAUACAAGCACUAAUGCACCGGAUCCCAUCAGAACUCCGCAGUUAAGUGUGCUUGGGCGAGAGUAGUACUAUGAUGGGUGACCUCCUUGGAAGUCCUCGUGUCGAAUUAAUUUUUUUUUCAGACGGGUCGUUCGACGUUACGCGCGACUAGAACUAGGGUCCACUGGUUUAUAUGCAAAUGUGAGUCAAGAAGCAAGGGCAUUUUAAUCGAUAUUAGAACGAGAAGGAGAGAUGCAGAGUGCACACACAAGGAAACAAAUGACGGGAGGGGGGAUGGAGGGAGAAAAGGUGUAUGUAUUUGCAGGGCAGAAUGAAACAUGGCAAUCAUACCAGCACGAAUGCAACGGAUUCUAUCAGAACUCCCCAAGUUAAGGGUGCUUGGGCGAGAGUUGCACUAGGAUGGGUGACCUCCUGCGAAGUCCUUAAAUUUCACCCAUUUUCUUAGGAAGUCCUCGUGUUGCACCCAUUUUUUUGCAGAUGAUUCUUUCGACGAUACGCGCGACUUGAAUUAUGGUCCUCAGGUUUAUUCGCAAAUGUGAGUCACGACACCUUAGCAUUUUACUUGAUAUUAGAACAAGCACGGGAGGUGUAGUGCGCACGCACAAGGAAACAAAUGACGGGAGGGGGAAGAAAGGAGAAGGAGUUUAUGUAUUUGCAGCGCGGAAUUAAAGGGGUGCGAUCAUACCAGCACUAAUGCGCCGGAUCCCUUCAGAACUCCGCAGUUAAGUGUGCUUGGGCGAGAGUAGUACU
This 6208-nucleotide long non-coding RNA is filed under the name Carica papaya (papaya). The record is from RNAcentral. Lineage: Eukaryota; Viridiplantae; Streptophyta; Magnoliopsida; Brassicales; Caricaceae.